UGGGGAAUAUUGGACAAUGGGGGGAACCCUGAUCCAGCCAUGCCGCGUGUGUGAAGAAGGCCUUAUGGUUGUAAAGCACUUUAAGCGAGGAGGAGGGUACUGGUAUUAAUACUACCAGCUACUGGACGUUACUCGCAGAAUAAGCACCGGCUAACUCUGUGCCAGCAGCCGCGGUAAUACAGAGGGUGCGAGCGUUAAUCGGAUUUACUGGGCGUAAAGCGUGCGUAGGCGGCUAAUUGAGUCGGAUGUGAAAUCCCCGAGCUUAACUUAGGAAUUGCAUUCGAUACUGGUCAGCUAGAGUAUGGGAGAGGAUGGUAGAAUUCCAGGUGUAGCGGUGAAAUGCGUAGAGAUCUGGAGGAAUACAGAUGGCGAAGGCAGCCAUCUGGCCUAAUACUGACGCUGAGGUACGAAAGCAUGGGGAGCAAACAGG
Molecule: ribosomal RNA, 430 nt
Filed under: Pseudomonadota bacterium
Lineage: Bacteria; Pseudomonadati; Pseudomonadota
Description: Proteobacteria bacterium partial 16S ribosomal RNA
Rfam family: Bacterial small subunit ribosomal RNA
Source: RNAcentral